CUCCCACAUCUAGUCCCACUCCUUGAUCAGAAUCCUAACCCUAAUUUACGUCUUUAUUGGCCGUUGCCCCCUCACCACUUUGUCUCAUAUUCUAUGUUAGGGUUAAUAGAGAAUACAUGAUUGUUGUUUUUUAAUCUUGGCAAAUAUGCUGGAUAUGUAUGCUACCGAAUUUGUUGGUUGCGGCUAUUUAAAUGAUCUGUGGUUGUUUAAUUUGUC
RNAcentral lists this long non-coding RNA (216 nucleotides) under Elaeis guineensis (African oil palm). RNAcentral describes it as "long non-coding RNA (EGUI_LNC030034)". The record is from RNAcentral. Lineage: Eukaryota; Viridiplantae; Streptophyta; Magnoliopsida; Arecales; Arecaceae.